Molecule: transfer RNA, 77 nt
Filed under: Atlantibacter hermannii
Lineage: Bacteria; Pseudomonadati; Pseudomonadota; Gammaproteobacteria; Enterobacterales; Enterobacteriaceae
Description: tRNA-Gly
Rfam family: tRNA
About the family: Transfer RNA (tRNA) molecules are approximately 80 nucleotides in length. Their secondary structure includes four short double-helical elements and three loops (D, anti-codon, and T loops).
Source: RNAcentral
CCGCCGAUAGCUCAGCAGGAAAGAGCAACUGCCUUCCAGGCAGUGAGUCCGGGGUUCAAGUCCUCGUCGGCGGACCA